RNAcentral lists this long non-coding RNA (7237 nucleotides) under Heterocephalus glaber (naked mole-rat). RNAcentral describes it as "lncRNA (ENSHGLG00100036020.1)". The record is from RNAcentral. Lineage: Eukaryota; Metazoa; Chordata; Mammalia; Rodentia; Bathyergidae.
GCAUGCUUAUCAGUUUGCCCUUCUCAAACUCACUUUGUUCAUUUGUCCAUUCACUCAAACUUUUCUUGAGAAUCUACUGUGUGCUCAGCACUGACUCUGAGAGCUGUCAAUAAGGAUAGCUCAAAAGAUAGGUUCUAUUGUCAGAUAAGUUUUAGAUACACUCUCCGUGGCAUUGCGUUUCUUUGAACUAUAAUAAGCAUCUUCUGUUUAUCAGGUAGUACCCAUUCUUCUAUAUUACUACAUCUGAGAAAUCCUUUAUUUUAUUCAUAUUUUCCAUAAUUAUUGGAAUUCUUUUUUUCUCCAAGCCCUCUUUCCAUUAUGAAACCGAGUAAUAACACUAGAAUCCUAGAGCAAUGGUUGAAAGAUUAGCUUUGGCAAAUACUGGUGUAAUACGGAGACAGAAUAACAGUUAGAACUAAUCUUGUUACAUAAAUUUCUAAUGGUAAUGCUGAUAGACUGAUAAACCAGAGAACAUUAGUAGGAAUCAAGUGCAUUAUACUUCUUAAACAUGGAUUCCUCAAAGAAUCAAGGUUCUGGAUAUGCCAAGUUUAAAGUCUGGAACCUUUCACUAAUGGGCACAAAACUAAUAAUGUAAACAUUAAUGAUUUAAGUAUUAAAAAUUUAAUUAUUAAUUUAAUUAAAAUAUUAACUACUUUAAAUUUUUAAAAAUAUAAAUCGACCAAUUGAUUCAAUCAGGUAGACUGGAAGGUAAAUUUAUUUCUUCAAAAAGAUCGAUGUGGUGUUUUCUGCUAAGACCUAAUGGCUUUCUUUCAACAAUAUAUCAGACUCUUAAAAAUGCAGAGAUUUGUUAAAUUUUUAGAAUUGAACUUCAGGAAAUUUAUAAUAAAAUUUCAAAACUAGCUAGCCAACAGUUCUAAACAGAUUAAGAUGACAGGAUAUUCCCCAUCUUUUAUUUUUAAAGUUUAAAGUUUUAUUUUUAUUUUUGUUAAGAGUUAAUAUUACAACGAAAUAUAUCUUCUUUGAGUGUCACUUCUCAGGUGCUCAGGAUAAGUGGCAGUCUGAGCUGUCAAUUCAAUUUCUGUUGCUAUCUAGGCUGAAAGGAAAUACAAAUACAUACACAGCAGAAGGUAACAGCAACAAUUAUAUUCCACAGAUCUGUGUAAUUUAUGAAGAAAAGAGGAAUCCAGUUCAGGAAAUGCAUGAAUCUCCUAAAAAAAUCUUCACCAUAGAACUAUUACUAUUAUCUUUCUGAUAUUAUAUUGAAAAUGAAACACAUUCACCAAUUCUCCAAAGGCAAUUUCUCUUCACCUCAAAUAAAUCUCCCUUAUAGGCCAUAUAAAUAGAAUUAAACUGUCACAUAAUGUUUCCAUUUGUUUUCCUGCAGAAUAAACUCAUUACAACCAGCCCAUUAGAAGAUGAUAUUAAAGGAUUUAAUUGCCUGUGCAUAUUAAAUAUGUUUAAAAUUUAUGAAAAUAAACAUUUUCAAAUUGAGUAAAUACACUGCAAUGAUAGAAAUGGGAAUGUGGAUUUAAUGCAAAUUCUUACGGUAAUGCGGAUCCAUAGCACUACCAUGGACUGGAUGUGCCUCCUUGGAGCAUGUAUAGAUGUUCCAGGCCAGAAUCUAAGCCACACAAGGGCAGAAAUCCAUUUGGAGGCACAUGUGGAAUUGCUAAUAGAUUAUAAAUGGCAAUUUAGUCUAUGCAGGCAAUAUCUUUGGAUGAAAUAUUGCAUUUAUGAUAAUCAGGGGAGACUUACAACAAUUAACAUGGUUGGUGUUUUCCAGGGCUGGCCACUGAGCUCAAGGGAGUGUGUGUAUUUGACCUUGUGUCCCUUACACUUUCCGAAUAGCAUGGUUCAUAGUUUCCUGAUGGACAGCUGCCAAUUAUUAAAAGAGAAGCAGGAUGGAACAGUCCAACUUUCGGGGGGCAGAGGAGGAGUUCAGUUGUUCCAGGCCUGUUUCCCCACCACCCUGGCAGAUGGUUCAACAGCCAGGUUGCAGUGGCUUGAAGGCAGAAAGAAAGAUUUCUCCCUUAAUCUUUUCAAAAUCGCCAACAAAAGUCAAGUCAAAUUCUUUUAAAAAAGAAAAGAGCAGCUCGUCACUUUUUUGAGAAUCUUCUCUUGAGUCUUCAUGUGGCUCAGGAUUCUGCAUUGUUCUUCUUCCAUAUCUUGAACCUCCAGCACGAAGACUCACAAGACUCUUUUGAAGGAUAUUUGUUGAACAAAAGAGUUAUAUUCCACUCUUGGCACAUCGCUGUGAAGCUUAAUUACUGUCUGUCCCUCUAUGGGGUUCUUGAUGCCUUCCCCUGGACCAUAGGCCAAACCCAAAUCCUGAUCCUCUGGCUCCGGAUCUGCCCAACUGAAUCCACCAACCUCUUUUGAAGAAGCUGGGCACUAACCGCACAGCCAGGGUAGAGCUCAGUUGCACCAAGUUACAGUUAGGAAGAACACCCAGAGUUAGCAGGAAGCCACGCUGGCAUGCACAGCCAAGGUCAAAUAUCAACGGCACCGAUUUUGAACCUUAAAUUAAAAGGCUGGAGAAGUAUAAGAGAUUAAGGCUGCAGGUUUUAUUAAGCAUCAGAGAGAAGAGGAAGUGGUAGGGAAUGAUUGACAGUGCUUCAAGGAGACAAAAGGUCAGUAUGGUAUAGCAUUGAGAUGUUGCAGACAGGCAGGGGAUGGAGUCCUUGAAUCAAAAGACUCAGAGGUUCACCAAGUAGCUUCCGAAUGCCCUUGCAUAGCAUUCAUAUUUUUAUUCUACAAUGCUCAUCAAAAGAAACUCAUGAGUCCUCAUUCAUCAUUCAACAUAUAUUUAUUAUAAGGUCAUGUGAGCAGUUAUAUCAUUGUUUAAUUCAUUCAUUCAACAAAUUUACUAUUUGGACUAGAAUCUCUAUUUUGUCACUUACUAGUCAUGUGACCUAUACAAAGUAUUUAACCUCCCUGCCCAGUUCUUUAUCAGUUAAGAGAUGAAUAGUAUUUCUGGGAUUUAUCAUAAGGAUUAAAUGAGUACUGUGAACACUAUGAGACACGUACGGAAAUAUCAACACAUUUCCUGGGCCUAUUUACUAAAUAUUGUGAAUUGGACCAUGGACCCAAAAGUUGGGUUGAAGUUCCAAAUGCAUAUUCAUGAACAGAACCAUGUUUUCAAAUAGGAUUCUUACAAAUGUAAUCAAGUUAAAAUGGGUGCAUCAGAGUGCACUUUAACCCCACAUGACUGGUGUUUUUGUAAGAGGAGUGACAGAGGGAAGACUGCCCUGUGGCUGCUGAAGACACCUGGAGAGUGAGAAGUAGAAGAGCAUCCUCCACCAGAGAUGUCAGAGUGAGCCCGACACUGCCAGCACCUUCUCCCAUAACUUCCAGCCUCCAGCACUGUGCAAGAAUUCACUUCUCCUGUGUUAAGCCACCAGUCUGAGGUAAAGACACCCCUGAUUUACCGAGGCUCGCCUUCACAACUGCAUCAAAGUGAUACGCAUUUGACAGAGUCUGUACCUCCAACUUUGAAUUCUGAUGUCCUCCUGGGUCAGUGAUGUGCAGUACAAACUCUCUCCAGAUGAUGAGAAGUGUCAGUGGCCCUGCAUACCUGUCAGCUGUGUGACCACAAGGGGAAACCAUCAGAGGUCGACUUUGCACUGCGCUGCUCAGCAUGAUGCUUGGUAGGUCAAGUGUAUUUAGUGCAUUUCCACUUAGAAUAUUUUCAACUUAUGACCAGUUCAGGGUGCUUGACCCCAUCAUAUAUUAAGAUGUAAUCCCAUUGUGAGUGAAGGAGAAUUUGUACUUUGAUAGAACACCCCUAAGAGACUAAUACCCUGAGUAGCUACUCUGCUUCGGAGACUCUUCCAGUUUCUGAUGAACAAAUGCCAAAGAGUGUGAAUUUUUUCCUAAGGAUUAUGUGAAACCAUGAGGGAAUGUAUAUGAUCGAAUGUUCAUGUGCAUGGACACAGAGAAGAUGUAGUGCAAGAAAAACGCUGCAGGGAGGAAAAGCAGUUAGGAGGUGGCUGUAGUAGUUCAAGGAAAACAAUGACUCGUGGCCUGAGAAGACAUUGAUAUAGAGAGAAAGUAGGCAUCGAGAAAAUGUUCUGAAGAUGGAAUUCUCAGUUUUGGUGAUAGACAGGGAGAAAAGUAUGAAAGGAGAGGUUUCUGGCCCUAACUGAAUGGCAGUGGAGUCACGUGCAAAGACUGAGAGUGAAGAGGCCUGGGGCCAGAAGAAGAUGCUAAGUGACGCUACACACGUUGGAGUUGAGAUACUGAAAGACAGAGGAGAGAGCCCUGUAGGCAUCUGGAUGAGUUUGGCGUAUGGGUCAAACAGAUCUGAGCAGGAAGUAUAAAUUUGGGAAUUAGCAUGUCGAUGUCAAGUGGAGCACAUUACAUCAUGAAAUCAUAUAAAGCCAGGGAAUGAGUCUUACCUUGUGAAGCAGCUUCAAUCAUGCAAAAAAAAAAAACCCAACAAAACCUUUUCAUACAUAUCCAUGCACAUUUUUCUGGAGUAGACACAGAGCUUUGUUCAGAUUCUCAAAGGCAUCAAUGACUCAAAAAGAAGCUGAGAACUACCAGCAAAAAGUAUGAGCAGAAAAGUGCCCGAGACCAAACACCAAAGCAUCUAAGUUCUAAGAUCACCUUAAAAGAGUAUCUUGACAGGCUGACCAAAUAGGUGGAAGAAAACUCUAGACUCCUAAAUCAAGGCAGCGACAAUUUUUAAGCUAUGCAUACUGGCACCAGUAUCAAAGGGCCAAAAACUCAAAAUACGAGGAGUUAUUGUGAGCUUCUCAAGGGCAAUUUAAAGUGAACUGGUUUGAGCACAAAUCUUUAGGUUGAUGGGUAAAUGACAGGUGAGAGAGGAGACCCUGAAAUUUUUAUAAAAUAAGAAAAUUUUAUCCUUUAAUUAAUUCCAAGAUUAAUAAACAGGAUUUAUUGUGUGUAUUUCAAGAUGGUAAAUUAACUCUCAUUUGUUCCUAUACCUGUUCUCCCUUUAUUUUUCUUAGAAACCCUGUUUAUUUUCCUGUUAUUUUCUUCUGUUUCUUCACUAAAAGGAAAGUCAAAGGAAAAAAAUCUACAAUGAAAAUUGUUAGGCCGACAGAGAAACUAAAAGUAGUAGGAUUCACAUUGGGUACCAAAAUACAAGCUAGUGAAUUUUAAAAAUAAUGUAUGUAUUAAAAUGUAUUUAUAUAGUGUUGUUGUAUAACACACUUCAUAUUUAUGAGUCAGCACUCAAAUGACAGUUGAGUUCAUUUAUAGAGAGACAAUCAUCAGGCUGGACAGGCAAAAAGAUGUAACUUCAAAGGCUUUGAAGAUUCCGGGCAGGAUCCUGGGUUAUAUCUAAAUCGUGUGUGUAUUUUUAUUAUCAACCAAACGAUUUCAGGGCUGCAUCCUGGUGAACUGAAAAACAAGUUGUUCAAAUUUUUGUAUUUCAAAAGAUGGUUAGGCAUCACAGAAACAAACACAUUGUUAUUGUUAAAGACAACUGUUCUUUUUUUUUUUUUUAAUAAAACUAUUCUGUAAAGGGAACGAGGAUAAUGCUGGCAAUGUGGUUUACUUUUCUUUAAAGGGACAUCUCUUCUGUGGAGUCUGUUAUGGCAGAAUUGAGAAUGCUUCCUCCCCGCCUCCACAUUUUACGAUCGUAGUUAGUGUAAAUGCUUAGGUCUGCUCACUGUUUUGCAUGUCCAGUUCUCUCUACUACUUGUUAAGGCUUGGGGGAGGCAGGGAGUGUAUGAAAUUCAUCUUUGUAUUCCCCUAUCAAUAACACAAUAACUGGAACAUUAAAGUGCAUCAAAUGAAUGAAUUUUAAUUAUUUACCCCAAUAUAUCUAAGUUCUGGUUCAUGUCUAGAUGUCCUCCCAAACCUCAAGUGCUCAGAGGUGGGGCUUUUUGGAGAUGAGUGGAUCAUGGGGCUUCUAGCUGAAUUACUGUUGGAAGGAGGGGUCUGGACAGAAGAGGCAGUCACUGUGGGCAUGGCCUGGAAGGGUCUGUCUCCCUUCCUGCUCCUCUUCCAUUUCACUUUGCUGCCAUGCCAUAACCCAUUCUCCUUGCCAUGCCAUUUGCCUUGGAGCCAGUCAAUUAUGUACUGAAAUCUGCAAACCAUGAGCCAAAAUAAACCUCUCCUCCUUUGAGUCAUGGUUGUUGGGUAUUGAGUCCCAGUGAUGGGAAAGUAAUUAAGACAAUCUAUUAAUUGCAUCUUGAGCUUUCAUUUGUGUAAUAAGAAUUGGAAUUUUUCUGUUGCUUCAUUGUUAAAGAUGACUAUUUUUGCAUAAUGCGUUUGGAACAUUAUUAAUAAGACAAUGGAAAAGAAAAUGUCACAAUUCAUUUGAAAUGCAAAGAGCCAAUAAACAGCAGUUAAAUAACAGACAUUAAAUGUUGCACAUAUGUCAAGUAAUAACAAGAAUUCUUUUCCUAGAAUUUGAAACAUUGUUAAGUGCAAUUGGUAUGACAUUAGAAUUUUUUAAGGCUAACACAGGGUCUGAUGUAGAUUAAGAGUUAUGUGCAUUAAAAGAGGAGAGAACAGUGAAUUACCAGAAGCAUUACUACUGACAGAAGACUCUAUAACUUCAAAGCUUGUUAUAUGACAUGACAUGAGUGGUUGAAAUGCAUAUGGCUGGGGAGAUACCAAGAAUAGUUCUCUUGGGUCUCAGUAGUUGCACUUUUUAUAGUGCUCCUCAGGGAUUAUAAAUAGACCCAUUUAGGAAGGAGUUCCUACUACCACACUAAUACAAAGCACAACCAAAGUGUCAACAACAACAAAAACAACAUACAUACAUACCAGUGGAUAAACGCACUGAAUUAGAGAUUUAUUUAGUUUUCCAACUCUAUCUGCAGUAAUGAUGAAAGAGGCAACGAGAAUUUUCAAAGUUGUUCUGAUCAAAUUAUAAUUAACAAUCAUGCAUAGAAAGAGGAAACCUUGUUUCUAUAGUCAUAAAAAUUUAACAUGGCAAGGUUCACUUGGUUAACAUUAAAACACAAAACUGGAUGCCAUGUGUUCACAACUCCUUGUGGAAUUUUAAAAUAUAGAGUGGUGGUUUUAGCUUGCUAUGUAGGGUCACCCAGGUACACAUUCCUGCAAUAUUUAAGAGAUUUUACUAAUAAAUGUCAAGGAGUGAAAGUGAUCAUGUGUAUAUUUAUUAUGUCAUCAUAAUAAAUCUAUGGGGGACCAGACACUGAUAUGACUGUUGUAAUGAUGAGCAAAGAAGAAAUUUUAAAGAUACAAAAUGGGAAUUUUCUAUGGAAAACCACACAAAUAUUUAUCUGCUUAUUGGAAUUCUGAGUGAACUUCUCUAUCAAUGACAUCUGCUGGG